UCCCAGGAAAAGAUUGUACUGCAGGAGAAGAACGUUGUUUCAAGCCUUGGUUCGUUGGCCCUCCUAUCAAAAAGUAAAGUUGUAAUGGAGGAUGAAGACCUUAACUUGGAGGAGUAUGACCUCACGUCUGAGGAUUAUGCUAUGAUGGUGUCUAACCCCAAGAGGUUCAUAAAGAAGAGAUUCCCCAGCAAUAAAAACCGAAACUGGCAAGGGAGUUAUAGUUCAGAAAAAGUUAACAAUGAACCGAAGGUUGAAGAGCCCAAGAAGGAACCAAAGGCAAAUGGUGAUUCUGGAGUAAGCUGUUACUACUAUGGCGGGAAAAACCACUAUGCAAAGGAUUGUGUCCUCAAAAAGAUGGCUGAAAAGGAUGAGGAAAAGGAUGAGGAAGCCUUGUUGCUGAAAAGGCUUGAUGAUAUGAGAAAGAAGAAAUCUACCGCUAACCCUUCCAUGAAUGCUCUAAUUGUGCAGGGUUCGGUUGCUGAUGACGAGUUCGGUAGCGUGGAAGUUUGGUCAACCGACUCUGAAGACGAUGAAGUGAGGAAGCCUACUCAUGGAAAGGCUUAUGUGGCAAAGGAGGAGAGCAGUGGAGGAAGGUGCUUAAUGGUGUCCGAUGUAUCUCAGAUGAGGGGAUACAACACUAUUGGUGGAAGCGAGGAACCGAAGGAGCAGCAGGACAUGUGCUUUACGGCCAAACCACUCAGCCAAUAGUUCAAUGAGCUCGAUGAACUGAUCAAGAAGGUACAAUCGGUUUUUGUUUCAUUUAAAGUACCACAAUCCUCAUAUGAGAAAGAACUAAAAAAUGUUAAUACAAGAAUUUCACAUCUAGAUAGUAGCUUAACUCAAACUCGAGUCACCAAUUCUAACCUAACUGAUCAAUUAAGCAGGGUGUCUUCGAAGAGUGAGGAGCGGCGCAUGUGGAUCGAGUUGAAGGAGUCUGAAUNGUGGCAAAGGAGGAGAGCAGUGGAGGAAGGUGCUUCAUGGUGUCCGAUGUAUCUCAGAUGAGGGGAUACAACACUGAUGGUGGAAGCAAUGAACCGAAGGAGCAGCAGGAUAUGUGCUUUACGGCCAAACCGCUCAGCGUGCAGUUCAACGAGCUCGAUGAACUGAUCAAGAAGGUACAAUCGGUUUUCGUUUCAUUUAAAGUACCACAAUCCUCAUAUGAGAAAGAACUAAAAAAUGUUAAUACAAGAAUUUCUCAUCUAGAUAGUAGCUUAACUCAAACUCGUGUCACCAAUUCUAACCUAACUGAUCAAUUAAGCAGGGUGUCUUCGAAGAGUGAGGAGCGGCGCAUGUGGAUCGAGUUGAAGGAGUCUGAAUUAGUUAAAAUAAAAGACGAAAACAUUUAUUUACAAAGAGACAAUUUAAAGUUGUUAAAACAGCGGAAUGUUUUUUGUUUAAUUGCAAAACGUCUUUAUUCUAAUAUUACUCAGCUUCACUUGGACUGUGAAAUAGGCCAAAAGAUCCAUCGCAUGAUUUUGCCCUUCCUUGAGUUUAAGGAGGAUGAAAUCGAUGCUGAAGCUUAUAAUUGUGAGAGUGUGAUAUCAUCUGAUGACGUCAAUCC
This 1561-nucleotide long non-coding RNA is filed under the name Lactuca sativa (garden lettuce). RNAcentral describes it as "long non-coding RNA (LSAT_LNC006112)". Lineage: Eukaryota; Viridiplantae; Streptophyta; Magnoliopsida; Asterales; Asteraceae. The record is from RNAcentral.